This 439-nucleotide ribosomal RNA is filed under the name Shigella sonnei. RNAcentral's name for it is "bacterial SSU rRNA". It matches the Rfam family "Bacterial small subunit ribosomal RNA", at positions 1 to 436 of the family's 1533-position model. Lineage: Bacteria; Pseudomonadati; Pseudomonadota; Gammaproteobacteria; Enterobacterales; Enterobacteriaceae. The record is from RNAcentral.
AAAUUGAAGAGUUUGAUCAUGGCUCAGAUUGAACGCUGGCGGCAGGCCUAACACAUGCAAGUCGAACGGUAACAGGAAGCAGCUUGCUGCUUUGCUGACGAGUGGCGGACGGGUGAGUAAUGUCUGGGAAACUGCCUGAUGGAGGGGGAUAACUACUGGAAACGGUAGCUAAUACCGCAUAACGUCGCAAGACCAAAGAGGGGGACCUUAGGGCCUCUUGCCAUCGGAUGUGCCCAGAUGGGAUUAGCUGGUAGGUGGGGUAACGGCUCACCUAGGCGACGAUCCCUAGCUGGUCUGAGAGGAUGACCAGCCACACUGGAACUGAGACACGGUCCAGACUCCUACGGGAGGCAGCAGUGGGGAAUAUUGCACAAUGGGCGCAAGCCUGAUGCAGCCAUGCCGCGUGUAUGAAGAAGGCCUUCGGGUUGUAAAGUACUUU